CAAAGAAACUUUUGAGUGGUCUGCCCAGGAUCAGAGAACGGGUGGGUGAGCCAGGCAGGCUGGCUCCAAACUCCGCAGGCUGAAGAACCACAGUCUACUGGUCUGAGCGGCCCCUUUCCCUCCUCCAGGCCGUAGGGGCCAAGGUUGUGUGAGUGAACCAAGGACGUGGUUCCUCACCCGCACACUGUGGCCAGCUCCCUGGCAUCCGCACUCACACUUCCCCUCCCUCUUGUCCGCGAGGGGAGGACCUCACUGCCCCAUCUGCUCUACGAUUCUGUCCCGAGGUUGGCUUUUUUCUGUUCUCCUGCCUUUCCCACAUCCAGACCUCUCAAGAUGGUUCCCGACACAGCUCCUUAGCAGCCCUCGGGCUACGCUGCAAUCCCUGACUCUUCAGCUGUGUUUCUGCCCCCUCUUACCCCUCCCCAGUUCCCGAUUUGUGCUAAGUUCCAGUGACUCUUCUCAUUGGCGGUGGAGCAGACAUCUGUAAGGAACUGGCCAAUCAGAAACCUCCUUCUGUCCCGACCCCGCCCCCCGACAGCACCACGGGCCGCCAAAAUCAUAAGCGACAGGAGACCUGGCAGCUGGCAAGGCGCACAACUAAGCUGCAAAUGCAAUUCAGGGAAGCAGAGGCUGUGAGAUCCACUGUGGGAGGAGCCUGCACCUGCGACCUGGGGGUGGCUUUGGCCUUGGCGUUUGGACCAAGAGGAGCAGCUAUGAAGACAACAGCUCUUGUGUCUGCUGACAUGGGACAGUGGAUGGCCAGAGUCUGGGGGUGGACCUCAGCCUUCCCAUCCAAGAAAGAGGUCAAAGAAGGCUGAGAGACAUGGGGAAGAAGUGAGGGUGGGUCGUCUCCUCUUAGCUGUGGAAGAUUCUAGAACAUAUAUGUAGGAGGAUCCCUGGUUUGGGAGUCUCUCCUAGACCUGUC
Molecule: non-coding RNA, 925 nt
Organism: Sus scrofa (pig)
Lineage: Eukaryota; Metazoa; Chordata; Mammalia; Artiodactyla; Suidae
Source: RefSeq, a predicted model, not a curated record